Molecule: ribosomal RNA, 492 nt
Filed under: uncultured bacterium
Lineage: Bacteria
Description: partial 16S ribosomal RNA
Rfam family: Bacterial small subunit ribosomal RNA
Source: RNAcentral
AGUGAACGCUGGCGGUAGGCCUAGCACAUGCAAGUCGAACGGCAGCACAGUAAGAGCUUGCUCUUACGGGUGGCGAGUGGCGGACGGGUGAGGAAUACAUCGGAAUCUACUUUUUCGUGGGGGAUAACGUAGGGAAACUUACGCUAAUACCGCAUACGACCUACGGGUGAAAGCAGGGGAUCUUCGGACCUUGCGCGAUUGAAUGAGCCGAUGUCGGAUUAGCUAGUUGGCGGGGUAAAGGCCCACCAAGGCGACGAUCCGUAGCUGGUCUGAGAGGAUGAUCAGCCACACUGGAACUGAGACACGGUCCAGACUCCUACGGGAGGCAGCAGUGGGGAAUAUUGGACAAUGGGCGCAAGCCUGAUCCAGCCAUACCGCGUGGGUGAAGAAGGCCUUCGGGUUUUAAAGCCCUUUUGUUGGGAAAGAAAAGCAGCAGGUUAAUACCCCGCUGUUCUGACGGUACCCAAAAAAUAAGCACCGGCUAACUUCGUG